This 118-nucleotide ribosomal RNA is filed under the name Pteropus alecto (black flying fox). Lineage: Eukaryota; Metazoa; Chordata; Mammalia; Chiroptera; Pteropodidae. The record is from RNAcentral.
AUCUAUGGCCAUGCCGCCCUGAACACACCCGAUCCCGCCUGAUCUCGGAAGCUAAGCAGAUCGGGCCUGGUUAGUACCGGGAUGGGAGACCACCUAGGAAGACCAGGUGCUGUAGGUG